UACGGAGGGUGCAAGCGUUAUCCGGAUUUACUGGGUUUAAAGGGUGCGUAGGUGGGUUGGUAAGUCAGUGGUGAAAUACUUUCGCUUAACGAAGGAACUGCCAUUGAUACUACCAGUCUUGAGUACAGUGGAGGUAGGCGGAAUGCGUCAUGUAGCGGUGAAAUGCUUAGAUAUGACGCAGAACACCAAUUGCGAAGGCAGCUUGCUACACUGUUAUUGACACUGAGGCACGAAAGCGUGGGGAUCAAACAGG
Molecule: ribosomal RNA, 253 nt
Filed under: uncultured bacterium
Lineage: Bacteria
Description: partial 16S ribosomal RNA
Rfam family: Bacterial small subunit ribosomal RNA
Source: RNAcentral